AGUAUUUACUGUUUUGACAGUCUAACUGGUUACACAGUUUCACUGUUGGACAGUUCUACUAUUUACUUUUGACAGUUUUACUGUAUGGCUCUGAUACCAACUUCGGCCCGGAUCUACAGUACUGUCUUUAUAAUCUUGCUAAUUGAAAAUUGAAUAUAUUUUGAUAUUCUGAAUUAUUUUGUAUAUGAUAGUGAAUAUGUAAUUUAUUUAUUACAAUAAGUAGGUAAAUACAAUAUUAUUAUAUUUAAGUAAUGCUUGCAAGAUCCUAUAAUAAUUAAGUACAAAUAAUAUGAAACAGAUAAAGGGAAUCACAUAAAUAUCUAUUACUAACCAUUGAGCAUAUGUAAAUUCUCUAACUUUUAUACUAAACAGUAUUUUGAAUUGCAUAAUAAAAUUUUCAUAAUAAACUUUUAUUGAUGACUUGUAACAUUUACAAUCCCACUAUUACAGAAAAUCACACUUUAAGCCCACUGUUACAAUAAUCAAACUAUUACAGAUUACAGAAAAAGCAUACUGUACAAUAUUCAGACUAUGACAGAAAACAAGAAAGAUAAACUUUAUUACAGAGAACAGAAAACAAAAGUCAGAAACCGAAAACAGAAAAUAAAGCAGAAGAUAGAAGAUAGAAGAGGAGAGGAUUAUGAGACUUACUGAGUGCAUAUACAAUAGCUGGAAAAUAAUUUCCAGUGUUCUGGACAAUAGGAAGGAAGGGUUUUAAUAUUGCAGUCACACAUAAAUAUAGAGAGAAAAGAUAUUGAACCUGAUCAAGGUGGCUUGUAUAUUUGAUUGCAUGAAGAG
RNAcentral lists this long non-coding RNA (798 nucleotides) under Amborella trichopoda. Its description in RNAcentral is "long non-coding RNA (ATRI_LNC002092)". The record is from RNAcentral. Lineage: Eukaryota; Viridiplantae; Streptophyta; Magnoliopsida; Amborellales; Amborellaceae.